This 372-nucleotide ribosomal RNA is filed under the name Triticum aestivum (bread wheat). RNAcentral describes it as "partial small subunit ribosomal RNA". Lineage: Eukaryota; Viridiplantae; Streptophyta; Magnoliopsida; Poales; Poaceae. The record is from RNAcentral.
AUGCCACAACCUGAUCCAAACAGUGUAGAAAAAUGGAAAUAUGACCCCGACAGAGCACAUUGGGAGUUGAUGAGGAUGAUUGUCGUUCAUGAAUUGCCAUUCUCCAUAGUGGAAUAUGAUGGGUUUAGGCGAUUCGUGCAUAGUCUGAAUCCAACAUUUGAGGUGGUGUCUAGGACGACAAUAACACUUGAUUGCCUCCUUCUAUUUGAUGAACAAAGGGCAAAGCUUCGAGAGGCUAUACAGAACUUAACCUCCCAUGUCUCUUUAACCGCCGACAUGUGGACUUCAAGUAAAGUCAAGAGCUAUAUGUGUAUAACAUGCCAUUUUGUUAGUGAGAACUGGAAAUUGCAGAAAAGAGUGAUUUGGUUUUCC